RNAcentral lists this ribosomal RNA (494 nucleotides) under uncultured bacterium. RNAcentral's name for it is "partial 16S ribosomal RNA". It matches the Rfam family "Bacterial small subunit ribosomal RNA", at positions 28 to 507 of the family's 1533-position model. The record is from RNAcentral.
GGCGAACGCUGGCGGCGUGCUUAACACAUGCAAGUCGAACGGUGAAGCGCCUUCCUUUUUGGUGGGUGUGGAUGAGUGGCGAACGGGUGAGUAACACGUGAGUAACCUGCCCCCUUCUUCUGGAUAACCGCAUGAAAGUGUGGCUAAUACGGGAUAUUCUGGGUCUGUCGCAUGAUGGGUCUGGGAAAGAUAUUGUUUCGGUGGGGGAUGGGCUCGCGGCCUAUCAGCUUGUUGGUGGGGUGAUGGCCUACCAAGGCGGUGACGGGUAGCCGGCCUGAGAGGGUGGACGGUCACACUGGGACUGAGACACGGCCCAGACUACGACGGGAGGCAGCAGUGGGGAAUAUUGCACAAUGGGCGCAAGCCUGAUGCAGCGACGCCGCGUGAGGGAUGGAGGCCUGCGGGUUGUGAACCUCUUUCGCCAGUGAAGCAGGCCUGCCUCGUUUGUGGGUGGGUUGACGGUAGCUGGAGAAGAAGCGCCGGCUAACUACGUG